Molecule: long non-coding RNA, 2046 nt
Organism: Phasianus colchicus (ring-necked pheasant)
Lineage: Eukaryota; Metazoa; Chordata; Aves; Galliformes; Phasianidae
Source: Ensembl
GAAUGUAGUUCUUUUUUUGCGCUGUGCGUUGCUAUCUGUAAGAAUGUGUACUGGGACAAGCAGUGAAGUCAAAGUUGCAUGAUAGGAGCUGAAGGUUUUGUUUUUCUGUGGAAUGUAUCUUCUCACAGGAGUACGUACUAUGCAAUGAUGCAAGGAGAAUCAAGUUCCUAUCUCUAGUUUUAAGAAAAGACUUCAUCUUCCACAUUUUCAAAGGUUAUUGAUAACGAGUCAUGACAUCUGUCCCGCCCCAAACUCCCUUCCUGAACAUCUGCUAUUUCAAAUAAAAGUGAGUUCAUCACGUAAUUUCUCAGCAGUAAAGCAGUUAACUCUUAUGACCCAAAAGAAACUAAUUCAAGCAGGUAAACCUAUUAUGUCUGCACUGAUCGGCCCCUAGGAGGCACAAAGCAUUUAAACUGAAUUGACCAAAACUUAUUGAAAAAAGAUUGGAUAAACUGAAAAUCCAUCUAAAUUAAAGAGCAAAUUUCAGAACUAACAUAUCUCAACUGAAAGAGUGCACUUAUGGCCCAGGAAAUAUAAAACAAAACACAAAAUUUUCAUUUUUCAUUAAAAAUUGGAAUGCAAGAUCUAUAUUUAAACAACUUUAUUAACAUAGUCAAGCAGUGAUUAACAUUCACAUCUAUUAUGUCACAUCAUACAAACGUAAAUACAAAAUUACUACAGUACAAUAUAUAUUCUCUGCAUGAUCCAAAAUAUUUGGUGGCCCCAAAAACUCUUUAAAAUUCAGCAGCUUAUCAAAAAUUAAAACCAUAUUCUAUUCAAAAUGAAGUUUUGUUAGCACAGAGGCAGACUUCAAGAAAGAUCACUCAAUUUAGUACAGUUUGAGAAGUUGCAGGAUAUGUUUGAAGGAAACAUUCCAACAUUGUGGCUGAUACAGAAACAUCAGAUUUAAAGCUUUCAAGCAAAACAUACAACCUAAGUUGUCAGCAGAAAGAUCCAGUCAUCUUUCACUUUAAAACUGUUCAUAUACUGCAUCCAAUUUAAGAUUUUGGAAGUGUUUAGUAUUAGUAAGUCAGACAGCAUACAACAUACCUACCUAUCUACUCCCAUGAAAAAAGAUAAUAUUACACUGAAGACUUCACCAGCCAAAUAUACCUAGUCAUACUAAUAUUUUUAAAUAUCCCCAUAAAAAAUCACCCAGGCCUUCUCUGUUUUGUUUCUCACCUAACGUAAGUAAAGAGAUACCUAAGGUGAAAGUAGCACAAUAGAAUUGAUUAUAGAAAAACGAUACUAUAAGUGCUGAAUUCUUAGAGAUGUGGAUUUGGCUUACUUAAAAAGUAUACUGUAACACCACAAAGGGAUACAUAUUUUAUAGAGCCAUUUUAACUUCCCUCACAUACAUACAUUCAAGUGAGUAAGCAUCCUUAUUAUUUUAACAGAAUAUACUCCAUAAGGCAAGCAACAAGAGUACUCACCUCAGAGUUUCCCCAUUUAAAAUAAUCUAAAACUGGCUUGCUCCAACCAUAAGUGCAAAGAACAAGCAUCAGUGACAGACAAAAAACAGCUUCUAUUGGAGAAGAACACCUACUAGACUGAUGGAUGCAAGUCAUCUGGAGAAUGCAUAGGUGAGUGCAAUACACAGCUACUGAUCAAGCUUCAUUUACUCAAGAUGAGGUUACUGGAAAUAUUUAUGUAAUACAUAACAAAUACGUAUGCAAAUUACAUCAGCAUCUAUGUGAGAUAACUGCAAGACUUUUUAUUUUUCUUAUUUUUUAAUUUACGGCAGUCAUUUCACUGCUGAGCUUAACCUUUAUCUGAGAUAAAAAGUUACUCUUCAGACCCUAUAUAGAAGCUUUAUGCAUCUAUUAUCCCCAUGAAAGUACUGAAGCAAUUAGUGUUAAGUUGCAAGUUCUUUCCUUGACAAAAUCUGAAACAAAAGAUUUCCAAUACAAUGUUGCAUUUAAAGCAUUUUUUUAAGAAAUAUUUCAGUUGUUUGAAUAUGGAUGCAUUCUCCUCAAGGGAAGAAUGUUUUUGCACCUUUAUCUGUUAAUACAUUCAAUAUGAAUAAAAUAGGUGAAGCAAAAGUCA